This 384-nucleotide long non-coding RNA is filed under the name Elaeis guineensis (African oil palm). RNAcentral describes it as "long non-coding RNA (EGUI_LNC022202)". Lineage: Eukaryota; Viridiplantae; Streptophyta; Magnoliopsida; Arecales; Arecaceae. The record is from RNAcentral.
UCCCCCUCUCUGCUCUCCCCCCUGUCCCAUCCUUCAUCGCGUCCGCCGCCGUCCGCAUCCAUUUCGCGCGAAAUCCAGGUUCCCCCUCCCCCUCUCUGCUCUCCGCCCUCUCCCGUCCGUGGCUUUCCACUGCUGCAUCCACCGCCGUCCGCGUCCGCCAUCAUUUUCCAUCGUUGCUUCCCGCCCUCCGCAUCUCGUCGCUUCCUGCCCUCCGCUGCUGUCACUUCCCGCCAUCCGCGUCCGCCAGAGGUAACUAUUUCAAGACUUUUUUUUUUUUUGGUGUUGAUCGGGCCAUCGGGGACCGGAGAGGGGUCGGCCGGCGGCAGCGGAGAUAGUGUCAGCGGCGACUGAGACUGAGCCAGCGGAGAUGGGGUGUGGGGUCGG